AAGAGACAGCAGCCGCCGCGGUAAUACGAAGGGUGCAAGCGUUAAUCGGAAUUACUGGGCGUAAAGGGCGCGUAGGCGGCGCGAUUAGUCAGGCGUGAAAUUCCUGGGCUCAACCUGGGGACUGCGCUUGAUACGGUCGAGCUAGAGGAUGGAAGAGGGUUGUGGAAUUCCCAGUGUAGAGGUGAAAUUCGUAGAUAUUGGGAAGAACACCGGUGGCGAAGGCGGCAACCUGGUCCAUUACUGACGCUGAGGCGCGACAGCGUGGGGAGCAAACAGGAUUAGAGACCCCUGUAGUCCCUGUCUCUUAUAC
Molecule: ribosomal RNA, 310 nt
Filed under: uncultured bacterium
Lineage: Bacteria
Description: partial 16S ribosomal RNA
Rfam family: Bacterial small subunit ribosomal RNA
Source: RNAcentral